Lactuca sativa (garden lettuce) is the source of this 871-nucleotide non-coding RNA. The record is from RefSeq and is a predicted model, not a curated record. Lineage: Eukaryota; Viridiplantae; Streptophyta; Magnoliopsida; Asterales; Asteraceae.
AUAGAGGAGGGUUUCGUGGGUUCUUUCACCUUUACACCAACGAUGGUGGAGCUAGAGAGAGACUUUAUGGUGUGUAAAGUACAACAUUCUUAAACCAGGGGAUUUAGAUAAAUAGCAUAACCCAAACCCUUUACGGUAAUUGGGAGCCAAUCAUGGCAAAACGCAACCCUCAUACCACUUUUGCUCUCAAGAAACCUACGGUACGUACAAUUUUUCUUUUCUUCCUCUUCCUUUUCUUAUCGGUAUUCUUAUACCUCGCUUCCUCUCCGGUGGUCGCCAUUACUGCCUACUUCGACCAGCCCUACCCUUCCCUUUUCCCCAACCUAGGAGCAUCUGUCGACAACUUCUCUGCUUCGUCCGUUUAACAGAUCGUCGAUCACUGCCUCUACGAUACCAUCAACUGCUCCAGACCUGUGAACAACAUGUCUAAAUCUCGCAUCUACACGAUGUCAAUGUUGUUCGCCCUAUGGAAUACUAGGAUUAAGAAGCACUUACUGUUCAGUGGGGCAUCAGGAGUCCCUAGCUGCUAACGGGAAUAAAUAUCAGUCUUUUGAAUAUAAAUCUGGAAUGGAUAGUGGAAGAAAUGCUUACUCAUCAGAUCAGGAAAGUCAGUAUAGUGUUGCUGAAGAUGAAGAUGAUUCAAAUCCAAGUUCACUUAGAAGAACAAAAAUUGGAUAGGUAAGUAAGGGUAAAAUGGUAUAUAAGUUAAUGUUUAGUAUAUUUGCAGACUAUGCAAUUUUUAAAGGCAAAACAACACUUUCUAUUGCCCCUGUUCUUCCUAGUUUUAUUAAAAUGGAUGUAUGAUUCUCUAUGAUCCAUCAUCUGCCUUUUACUUUUUAAAAAGAAUACUAAACAUUAGCAAGUGGAAAAA